UACGGAGGAUCCAAGCGUUAUCCGGAAUCAUUGGGUUUAAAGGGUCCGUAGGCGGUUUAGUAAGUCAGUGGUGAAAGCCCAUCGCUCAACGGUGGAACGGCCAUUGAUACUGCUAGACUUGAAUUAUUAGGAAGUAACUAGAAUAUGUAGUGUAGCGGUGAAAUGCUUCGAGAUUACAUGAAAUACCAAUUGCGAAGGCAGGUUACUACUAAUGGAUUGACGCUGAUGGACGAAAGCGUGGGUAGCGAACAGGAUUAGAUACCCUGGUAGUCCACGCCGUAAACGAUGGAUACUAGCUGUUGGGGGCAACUUCAGUGGUUAAGCGAAAGUGAUAAGUAUCCCACCUGGGGAGUACGUUCGCAAGAAUG
This 368-nucleotide ribosomal RNA is filed under the name uncultured prokaryote. Its description in RNAcentral is "bacterial SSU rRNA". It matches the Rfam family "Bacterial small subunit ribosomal RNA", at positions 524 to 896 of the family's 1533-position model. The record is from RNAcentral.